AGGAGGAACAACCGCAGUGGCGGGGCCAGCUCUGCAAACCUGGAGUCAGCCCCCGCAGUAGCUCCGGAGCUCUCCGUCUGCAGGGCCUGGAGGCUCCAGAGCGGG
Canis lupus familiaris (dog) is the source of this 105-nucleotide non-coding RNA. The record is from Rfam. NCBI's taxonomy places the organism in Eukaryota, Metazoa, Chordata, Mammalia, Carnivora, Canidae.